Molecule: ribosomal RNA, 468 nt
Filed under: uncultured bacterium
Lineage: Bacteria
Description: partial 16S ribosomal RNA
Rfam family: Bacterial small subunit ribosomal RNA
Source: RNAcentral
GACGAACGCUGGCGGCGUGCUUAACACAUGCAAGUCGAACGGAAAGGCCCUGCUUUUGUGGGGUGCUCGAGUGGCGAACGGGUGAGUAACACGUGAGUAACCUGCCCUUGACUUUGGGAUAACUUCAGGAAACUGGGGCUAAUACCGGAUAGGAGCUCCUGCUGCAUGGUGGGGGUUGGAAAGUUUCGGCGGUCGGGGAUGGACUCGCGGCUUAUCAGCUUGUUGGUGGGGUAGUGGCUUACCAAGGCUUUGACGGGUAGCCGGCCUGAGAGGGUGACCGGCCACAUUGGGACUGAGAUACGGCACAGCCUCCUACGGGAGGCAGCAGUGGGGAAUAUUGCACAAUGGGCGGAAGCCUGAUGCAGCAACGCCGCGUGCGGGAUGACGGCCUUCGGGUUGUAAACCGCUUUCGCCUGUGACGAAGCGUGAGUGACGGUAAUGGGUAAAGAAGCACCGGCUAACUACGUG